AUUAAGAUCAAUGAUUUAUUCAUUAGUUAUUGAGGUUUAAAUCUAUUAUAGAAAUUACUGGGAUUUGAUUAGGGAUUGGUUUAAGGUUUAGAAUUUGGUUAGGAUUUGAUUUAGGAUUAGGAUUUGGUAAGGGUUUGAUUUAGGAUUUAGGAUUUGGUUUAGAGUUUGUUUAGGGUUUUAUUUAGGAUUUAGGAUUUAGUUAGGGUUUAGUUUAGGAUUUAGGGUUUGAUUUAGGAUUUGAUUUAGGAUUUAGGAUUUGAUUUAGGAUUUGGUUGGGAUUUGGUUUAAGAUUUUUUUAGGAUUUGGUUUAGGAUUUAGGAUUUGAUUUAGGGUUUAGGAUUUUAUUAGGGUUUAAGAUUUAAUUAGUUUUAACCUAAAGUUUGAAUGAAGUCCAAUAGGAUUUUAAUAAGAAUUAAAUUAAGAUUGAAUUGAGAUGAAUUUGAGACAUAUUUGUGAUCAUUCUAAUAUUUCUUUAAGAUUUUUUAUUAUUUCUUUGAAAUUUCUUUGAGGUUUUUUUGAAUUUGAUUAAAGCUUGCUUAACAUUAUUAUGGUCUAAUUAGAGUUUAGUUAGUAUUCUAUUAUAGUUAGGAUUUUGUUGUUGCAAUUUUCAUUCUACCUUCCACAGCCAAGUGCUCGAAGCAUUCUCAAGUAAGACUUCACGUAUUAUGACAACGGUCAAUCCUUAGAUAUCAAUCUAACCUAUUCUAAGGGAUUUUUAGUCCAAUCUUACCCUCAACUUAAUCCUA
This 746-nucleotide long non-coding RNA is filed under the name Physcomitrium patens. RNAcentral describes it as "long non-coding RNA (PPAT_LNC009407)". Lineage: Eukaryota; Viridiplantae; Streptophyta; Bryopsida; Funariales; Funariaceae. The record is from RNAcentral.